RNAcentral lists this unclassified non-coding RNA (419 nucleotides) under soil metagenome. RNAcentral's name for it is "partial contains 5.8S ribosomal RNA, internal transcribed spacer 2, and large subunit ribosomal RNA". The stretch from base 1 to 120 matches the Rfam family "5.8S ribosomal RNA", at positions 35 to 154 of the family's 154-position model. The record is from RNAcentral.
GAUGAAGAACGUAGUGAAAUGCGAUAAGUAAUGUGAAUUGCAGAAUUCAGUGAAUCAUCGAAUCUUUGAACGCAUCUUGCGCUCCUUGGUAUUCCUUGGAGCAUGCCUGUUUGAGUAUCAUGAGCAAAUCUCAAAGUCAAUUCCUUUUGUUAAUUCAAUUGGUUUUGCUUUGGACUUGGAGGUCUUGCAGAUUUUCACGGUCUGCUCCUCUUAAAUGCAUUAGCUGGAUCUCAGUAAUUAUGCUUGGUUCCACUCGGCGUGAUAAGUAUCACUCGCUGAGGACACUGUUAAAAAGGUGGCCAGGAAAAUACUGAUUGAACCGCUUCUAACGGUCUAUUAAGUUAGACAAUUACCCUUAAGUUUGAUCUCAAAUCAGGUAGGACUACCCGCUGAACUUAAGCAUAUCAAUAAGCGGAGGA